GCAAGUUGAACGGAAACGAAGGAGUGCUUGCACUUCAGGCGUCGAGUGGCGAAAGGGUGAGUAACGCGUGAGUAACCUGCCUCAAGGUCUGGGAUAGCCCCGCGAAAGUGGGAUUAAUACCGGAUGUGGCAUAGAGUCGUCUGGCUCUAUCGCCAAAGAUUUAUUGCCUUGAGAUGGACUCGCGUCCUAUUAGCUUGUUGGUGAGGUAACGGCUCACCAAGGCGGUGACAGGUAGCUGGUCUGAGAGGACGGUC
Molecule: ribosomal RNA, 254 nt
Filed under: uncultured bacterium
Lineage: Bacteria
Description: partial 16S ribosomal RNA
Rfam family: Bacterial small subunit ribosomal RNA
Source: RNAcentral